CAAGAAAACCAUCCAACUUACACAUGAACAACAGCUGAUUCUGAAUCACAAGAUGGAACCUCUCCAGGUGGUGAAAAUUAUGGCCUUUGCCGGCACUGGGAAGACCUCAACGCUGGUCAAGUACGCAGAGAAGUGGUCUCAGAGCAGGUUUCUGUAUGUGACAUUCAACAAGAGCAUCGCAAAGCAGGCCGAACGCGUCUUCCCCAGCAACGUCAUCUGCAAAACCUUCCAUUCCAUGGCCUACGGGCACAUAGGGCGGAAGUGAGUACUGCUGUCACUAGUGGCACUGUUGCUGCUGGCACGGUCGCGUCUUACUGUUUUCCCGUGACGAUCACAUGUGAGCUUACACCACAGUGACCCCGAGGAGUGUAGUGCUGUUAUCUCCACUUACAGGCAGGAAACAAAUACAUAGGUUUAGCCAUUUGUACUUUUAUCCUAUAGCAACAUAUUGUUUACAUAUAAUGCCGUCUUGCCAAGAGGGGUGUUCUCAUGGAAGUGAGGCACAGAAAGUCAAAAUGACUUGCUUAAAGUUCAGAGUCUCACAAAUCCUGAUCAGUUGUAGGCUUUUCUUGGAAGGGAGUGAGGAAGACUCAGCCGAGGCACACUUGACCCAGGUCUCCUGGAUGUAGAGGCA
Molecule: small RNA, 634 nt
Filed under: Pan troglodytes (chimpanzee)
Lineage: Eukaryota; Metazoa; Chordata; Mammalia; Primates; Hominidae
Description: processed transcript
Source: RNAcentral